UACGUAGGGGGCAAGCGUUGUCCGGAUUUAUUGGGCGUAAAGAGCGUGUAGGCGGCCUGAAAGGUCAGCUGUGAAAACUCGAGGCUCAACCUCGAGACGUCGGUUGAAACCAUCUGGCUAGAGUCCGGAAGAGGAGUGUGGAAUUCCCGGUGUAGCGGUGAAAUGCGCAGAUAUCGGGAAGAACACCCGUGGCGAAGGCGGCCUUCUGGACCAGUACUGACGCUCAUGCACGAAAGCGUGGGGAGCAAACAGG
Molecule: ribosomal RNA, 253 nt
Filed under: uncultured bacterium
Lineage: Bacteria
Description: partial 16S ribosomal RNA
Rfam family: Bacterial small subunit ribosomal RNA
Source: RNAcentral